ACGAACGCUGGCGGCGUGCUUAACACAUGCAAGUCGAACGGAAAGGCCCUGCUUUUGUGGGGUGCUCGAGUGGCGAACGGGUGAGUAACACGUGAGUAACCUGCCCUUGACUUUGGGAUAACUUCAGGAAACUGGGGCUAAUACCGGAUAGGAGCUCCUGCUGCAUGGUGGGGGUUGGAAAGUUUCGGCGGUUGGGGAUGGACUCGCGGCUUAUCAGCUUGUUGGUGGGGUAGUGGCUUACCAAGGCUUUGACGGGUAGCCGGCCUGAGAGGGUGACCGGCCACAUUGGGACUGAGAUACGGCCCAGACUCCUACGGGAGGCAGCGGUGGGGAAUAUUGCACAAUGGGCGGAAGCCUGAUGCAGCAACGCCGCGUGCGGGAUGACGGCCUUCGGGUUGUAAACCGCUUUCGCCUGUGACGAAGCGUGAGUGACGGUAAUGGGUAAAGAAGCACCGGCUAACUACGUG
RNAcentral lists this ribosomal RNA (467 nucleotides) under uncultured bacterium. RNAcentral's name for it is "partial 16S ribosomal RNA". It matches the Rfam family "Bacterial small subunit ribosomal RNA", at positions 29 to 507 of the family's 1533-position model. The record is from RNAcentral.